AUGGCAAGGCUCUUUGCUGUGUGCUUGGUUCUGCUCGCCUUCACCAUGGCCGUGGCGGCAGAUAUGGCGCCGAUGAUGGCCCCGAUGGCGGCAGAUAUGGCGCCGAUGAUGGCCCCGAUGGCGGCGCCGGCGGCCGACGCGGCCGACUGCAACAGCGACCUGCAGGACCUGGUUGCCAACUGCCAGAACUACGUCAUGUUCCCGGCCGAGCCGAAGAUACCGCCGUCGCCGGCCUGCUGCGCCGUGAUCCAGAGGGCGGACAUGCCGUGCCUGUGCGCCAAGGUCACCCCGGCGAUCGAGAAGGUCGUCUGCAUGGACAAGGUCGUGUUCGUCGCCAAAUACUGCAAGAGGCCCUUGCAGCCUGGCUCCAACUGCGGAAGCUACCCCGUUCCUGGUGCGUUCGUGUAG
Molecule: ribosomal RNA, 408 nt
Filed under: Triticum aestivum (bread wheat)
Lineage: Eukaryota; Viridiplantae; Streptophyta; Magnoliopsida; Poales; Poaceae
Description: partial small subunit ribosomal RNA
Source: RNAcentral